This 253-nucleotide ribosomal RNA is filed under the name uncultured bacterium. Its description in RNAcentral is "partial 16S ribosomal RNA". It matches the Rfam family "Bacterial small subunit ribosomal RNA", at positions 524 to 776 of the family's 1533-position model. The record is from RNAcentral.
GACGUAGGAUGCAAGCGUUGUCCGGAUUCAUUGGGCGUAAAGAGUUCGUAGGUGGUUUGUUAAGUCUGAUGUUAAAGACCAGGGCUCAACCCCGGGAGUGCAUCGGAUACUGGCAGACUAGAGUACAGUAGGGGCGAGUGGAAUUUCCAGUGUAGCGGUGAAAUGCGUAGAUAUUGGGAAGAACACCAGUGGCGUAAGCGGCUCGCUGGGCUGUAACUGACACUGAGGAACGAAAGCCAGGGGAGCAAAUGGG